This 76-nucleotide transfer RNA is filed under the name Streptomyces shenzhenensis. RNAcentral describes it as "tRNA-Pro". It matches the Rfam family "tRNA". Rfam says of the family: Transfer RNA (tRNA) molecules are approximately 80 nucleotides in length. Lineage: Bacteria; Bacillati; Actinomycetota; Actinomycetes; Kitasatosporales; Streptomycetaceae. The record is from RNAcentral.
CGGGACGUAGUUCAGAGGUCAGAGCACCCGCUUUGGGAGCGGAGAGUCGUGCGCUCGAAUCGCGCCGUCCCGACCA